CAAAACUUAACAUAAUUAAUGUGUCUCACUUACAUUGAGAAAAUAAUUUCAUCAAAUUAGUUUUGA
Molecule: transfer RNA, 66 nt
Filed under: Ancistrocheirus sp. 2 FFA-2023
Lineage: Eukaryota; Metazoa; Mollusca; Cephalopoda; Oegopsida; Ancistrocheiridae
Description: tRNA-Val
Source: RNAcentral